Molecule: long non-coding RNA, 4141 nt
Organism: Alligator mississippiensis (American alligator)
Lineage: Eukaryota; Metazoa; Chordata; Crocodylia; Alligatoridae
Exons: 4
Source: RefSeq, a predicted model, not a curated record
GAAAGGGAAGAUACUUCUGAAUAGGAAGGGGAAGGGAAUGGGAUUCUUACCUGCCUUGGGGGACUUAAAGAAGUCCCCAGCUGCUGCUCCUGGGGUGCAGGCAAUACAGUCUGUCCAUUUGGGCAUGGAGAGAAGGUUGGGGGACACAGAGACCCCUGCAGCACCAGUUGCUUCUCUCACACCCACUUGGCAAAAUUCAGGAAUUGUUUCUGAUAGCAAUCUGUCUUUCUGAAUAAGAUGAAAUCAAAAUAAGGGCAAAUUAAUUAUCAUUGAACAGGCACAUAUAAUCAAGUAGAGUUUCUAUAAUAGAAAAUAAUUUCAGGAAGUUGGUUUACUGCCAGAGGCAGAGUUGUCAGCAGUUAACAUUUGUCUUCAUAAGGUGCACAUCAAUAAAAAGCAGUUAUGAUUACAAACAGAAUCAAGAUUUCUGUUUUUACCUUGGAGUUAGAGCAAAAUGAAAAGCUCAGUGAUUUUUCUAACACUAAGGUUAAUAGCUUGGCUAAGGAAACCAUCUUGUCCAAUAGAAGUGUGUUAUAUCUUUUUUAACUAUAUUGAUUAGGGAACCAGCAGCGGAAAGGAGAUGAUCCAGGCACACGUGUGUCCCGCACGCACGUGUGCCCCCUUAACCAACUAAUUUACUGACCCGAGGCGGAGGAGGAAGCAGUAGCAGCAGCAGCAGCAGAGGAAACAGCAGCGGGGGCAGCAACAGCUGAUCCCCCGAAGGUAAGAGGGGCGGAGGGACCCGGCACAGCUGAGCCGGAUCCGGAGGGGAAGCCCCCCGAGUCCCAUAUAGCUGAGCCGGUAGGGAGCCGGGCUCCAAAGCUGCACAGCAUGAACAGAGCGCACAAACAGGGAGGGCUAGGGAGGGGACUGUCCCCCCAGGCCAGGGAGCACCCCGGGGCUAACCCUUGGGGAGCAGGCUCCAGCGGCACCGGAUCCCCACAGCGGGGGAGCGUAGGGGGCGGGGCUGCCGGCAGGCACUUCCGGAUAGACUGGCGCGCCUGAUUGGCUGUUGGGGCAGGGGCAGGAAAUUCAAACCCCGGGCUUUAAAAGCCACGGGGUGACGUAGUUCCCAGCACUCAGGAACCAGCACCAGGAAGGAGAGGAUCCAGGCACACGUGUGUCCUGCACGCAUGUGUGCCCCCUUAACUAACUAAUUUACUGACCCGAGGCAGAGGAGGAAGCAGUAGCAGCAGCAGCAGAGGAAACAGCAGCAGGGGCAGCAACAGCUGAUCCCCCGAAGGACUAGGCACCUAAGGAAGAAGCAGCCCAGGGAAUGCCCUCCACAGCAGAGUGGCAGACGGUCACAUCCAGGACCGGAGCUGCUCGCAGCGAACAGGUACCAGUUCCUCCAGUCCAACUGGAGAACAGGUCAAGAGAUCCAAGUGGACCCAGAGGAGGAGGCAUCGAGUGAUUGUCAUAGGAGACUCCAUCCUGAGAGUGAAUGGACGUGGAAGACGGCACGAGAACUGCAUCCGAGAGACCAACUGGCAGCUUCAGCAGUGGUGUCUCGAGGCAGGCUUCGGCUUCCUGGACAACGACCCACACAUCACGAGGAGGGACGUGCUCAGUUGGGAUGGGCUUCACCUGUCCCCCAAAGGUAAGCGUGUGUUUUCUUCUAGGUUGGCGGAUCUCCUCCGGCGGGCUUUAAACUAGGCUCGCCGGGGGGAGGGGAAGAUGAGGGCGGGGGAAGCUGUGGACCACCAAACCAUGUGGCACCCACAAGGACAGCCCAGCCUGAAGAAAGAGAACAUUGGGAACCUGCAAGACGUGGGGCGGCCAGCACUACGGCACAGGUAUGAAACGUGAAGGUAAGAAAUAAGGGGCCCCUUGGGACUCGGAGCGGGGGGGCAGCAAAGGCACCAGUCACAGGGCUCAAGUGCCUAUAUACUAAUGCUAGGAGCAUGGGAAACAAGCAGGAUGAACUAGCGCUCCUGCUUGCACAAAACACCUACGACUUAGUAGGGCUAACGGAAACCUGGUGGGAUUCGUCCCAUGACUCGGCAGUACAUAUUGAGGGUUUUAGAUUGUACAGAAAGGACAGGGUGGGGAAAAAAGGGGGAGGGGUUGCGCUGUAUGUCAAUGAGCAAUAUACGUCAACCCUCAUCAAGACGGAAUCCAAGGAUGAGGAAGUAGAAGGAUUGUGGGUUAGGCUACAUGGGGGGCAAGGAGAAAGGGAUUUGGUGGUAGGGGUCUGCUACAGACCCCCACAUCAAGGGGAAGAAAGAGAUUCGGGGCUCCUGAGGCAGCUCUCAGAGGCCAUAAAAGCUAAACAGGCGGUAGUCAUGGGGGACCUAAACUACCCAGACAUAUGCUGGGAGACACAGGCGGCAAAGUCCCACCGCUCACGCAGGUUUCUAACCUGCAUACAGGACCUCCACCUGACACAGGAGGUACAUGAUCCCACUAGGGGGAAUGCCAUACUGGAUCUGGUAUUGGCAACGGGGGAUGACAUGGUAGGGGACCUACAGAUUGGUAGCCAUCUGGGGGACAGUGAUCACCUAAUAAUAGAAUUCACCAUAAGACGUCGAGUGGGUAAGGUAACUAGUAGGAUGAAAGUACUAGGCUUUAGGAAAGCUGAUUUAAAUGAACUCAGGCGAUUUAGUCAAGGACGCACUGCAGAGUAGGAGUUUUGAAAUGAUGGGAGCCCAAGAAGGGUGGCUGUGCCUUAAGGAAACGAUCCUUCGGGCACAAAGCGAGACGAUCCCAUUGCGGGGUAAAAGAGGGAAAGGGGCCAGGAGGCUUCCCUGGCUGACCGCAGAAAUACAGGGCAGCCUAAGGGCCAAAAGGGGAGCACAAAAAAAGUGGAAACAAGGAGAGAUCACCAAAGACGAAUAUACCUCCUCUGCUCGUGCUUGUAGGGAGGCAGUUAGACGGGCCAAAGCUACCAUGGAGCUGAGGAUGGCAUCCUAAGUAAAGGAUAAGAAGAAAAUGUUUUUUAGAUAUAUAGGGAGUAAAAGGAAGGCCCAGGAAGGAAUAGGACCCCUGCAAAAUGGGCAGAAACAAUUGGUGGCUGACAGGGGGGACAAGGCUGAACUCCUCAAUGACUUCUUUGCCUCAGUGUUCCUAAGUGAGAGGGAGGACAAGUCUCUCACUGGAGAGGUUGUAGAGAGGCAGCAGCAAGGCGCCAGACUUCCAUGUGUAGACCCUGAGAUGGUGCAGAGUCACUUGGAAGAACUGGAUGCCUUUAAGUUGGCAGGCCUGGAUGAGCUCCAUCCAAGGGUGCUGAAGGCACUGGCCGACAUCAUUGCAGAGCCACUGGCAGGAAUAUUCAAACGCUCGUGGCACAUGGGCCAAGUCCCGGAGGACUGGAAAAGGGCCAAUGUGGUCCCCAUUUUCAAGAAGGGGAGGAAGGAGGACCCGGGCAACUAUAGGCCAGUCAGUCUCACCUCCAUCCUUGGCAAAGUCUUUGAAAAAAUUAUCAAGGCUCAGGAGGCAGGUAACUGGAGGCUGGGUCCUCCAUGGAGAUGCUCCGGCUGCCAGAGCAUCUCUGUGGUUGGCCCCUUGCCCUGGUGCUGAAACACUCGGCUGGCCUGUCCUCAUGUUUCAGCACCAGGGCUCAGGUGCCAGUGAGUAAGGGGUCAGGGGGCUGGAGGAGGAGGGGACCGUGGGGGGGGCCCCAAUGGCCCUGUCCACUCCCCCAGGCCCCUGACCACUGCCGGGGCUGGCCCCUCCCCCCAGCAGUCCCCCCGAGGCCUCUAACCCUGGCUGGGGCUGGCCCCUCCCCCUACCAGCCUCCCUGAGGCCCCUCCCCCUGCCGGGGCUGGCCCCUCCCCCUGCCAGGCCUGGCCCCUCUCCCCACCAGCCCCCCUGAGGCCCCCUGACCCCUGCCCUGGCUGGCCCCAUCCCUCCAAGCCCUGUGCCCUCACCCCAUAAUUUAAAAAAAAUAAAACAAAAAGAACCCCGGUACUUACCUGUAGCUUGCUGCGUCUGGCUGACUGGGGCCCUGCCUGCACAGUGCCGGGCAGGGUGACAGCCCCAAUGGCCCCAGCCUAGGCCCUGCUGCCCCGGAAGCUCUGCCAGGAGGCUCUGGAGCCCCUGCCCCGCCCCCCUGCUUCUAAGGUAAGCAGAGCAUUUUUAUUUUCCACUUUUUCUGGGUUUUUUCUGUUUUGUUUUUUUUUUAAGUGCUGGCACCUGGGGU